GAUGAAUGCUGGCGGCGUGCCUAACACAUGCAAGUCGAGCGGCAGCGAGUUUUACACUGAAUUCUGGAAGCUUCUGAGUAGUACAGAAGAUUUAUUCAAGAGUUUUGUGUAAAAUGUCGGCGAGCGGCGGACGGCUGAGUAACGCGUAGGAAUUUGCCCCAAAGUGAGGAAUAACUGCCCGAAAGGGUAGCUAAUGCCGCAUAUGGUCUUCGGGUUAAAGCCUUCGGGCGCUUUGGGAGAAGCCUGCGUUGGAUUAGGUAGUUGGUAGGGUAAUGGCCUACCAAGCCGACGAUCCAUAGCUGGUCUGAGAGGAUGAUCAGCCAGACUGGAACUGAGACACGGUCCAGACUCCUACGGGAGGCAGCAGUGAGGAAUCUUCCACAAUGGGCGAAAGCCUGAUGGAGCAACGCCGCGUGAAGGAUGAAGGCCUUCGGGUUGUAAACUUCUUUUAUGAGUGAAGAAUAUGACGGUAACUCAUGAAUAAGCACCGGCUAACUACGUG
Molecule: ribosomal RNA, 502 nt
Filed under: uncultured bacterium
Lineage: Bacteria
Description: partial 16S ribosomal RNA
Rfam family: Bacterial small subunit ribosomal RNA
Source: RNAcentral